RNAcentral lists this long non-coding RNA (810 nucleotides) under Aotus nancymaae (Ma's night monkey). RNAcentral's name for it is "lncRNA (ENSANAG00000039458.1)". The record is from RNAcentral. Lineage: Eukaryota; Metazoa; Chordata; Mammalia; Primates; Aotidae.
CUGGCUUAAAAGUAUUUUAGAGGGCAAGGCAGGGCUGGGCUCAGUGGCUCACCCCUGUAAUCCUGGCACUUUGGAAGGCUGAGGUGGGAUGUUCCCUUGAGGCUAGGAGUUCAAGACCAGUCUGGGCAACACAGAGAGACCCUGUCUCUACUAAAAAACCAAAACAACACCAAAAAAAAAACCAUGUGGGUGUGGUGGCUCAUGCCUGUGGUCCCAGCUACCUGGGAGGCUGAGGCAGGAGGAUCGCUUGAGCCCAGCAAGUGAAGGCUGCAGUGAACCAUGAACGUGCCAUUGCACUGCAGCCUUGGCAACAGAGCAAGAGCCUCUCUUGAAAAACAAAACAAAAAACGACUUAAUCAAAAGAUAGCCAAUGAUGGGCAAAUAUAUAUGUAUAAUAAAAAUUUAAAACUUUUUUUCAUAUGUAUUUAAAAACUUUUUUCCCCUAGAAUCAGAACUACAAGGAUCAAUUAUCCCAGCUCAAUGACAGGGUUCUUCAACUGGGACAGGAGGCUUCUACCCACCAGACCCAAAACGAGGAGCAUCGUGUGACCAUUCAGCUGUUAACACAGAGCCUGGAGGAGGUGGCAUGCAGCUGGCAGCAGCAGAGUGACCAAAUCCAAAAACUUGAAGUUGAACUUGAACGCCUGAAUCAGGAAUGUCAGAGCAUGCGACUGUCACAGGCAGAGCUGACACAGACCCUUGAGGAAAGUCAAAGCCAGGUGCAGGGAGCUCACCUGAGGCUGAGGCAGGCCCAGGCCCAGCACUCACAGGAGGUCCGGCAGCUGCAGGAGCAGAUGGGUCAGCUGGUGC